CUCCGAGACAGAAAUGGGUUUAGUUGUUCACAUCCAGUGCAUACAUAGACAGUAACUCCAGUGCUUUUUGAGAAGUGUUCUUGGUACGAUGGGGAGGAGCUUUUUGUGUAUCAAACCUAGAGUUAAACCAUGGCCCUUUGAGAUGCCUUGUCCACGUGGAUUCCACAUAUGCCCCAGGAAUGUAUGGACUGGAUUCUUUUAAGAGACAAAGCCAUUGAAGCUCAGCAUUAACUUUUGCUUACCUUCCUUCCUGUUGCAAGAAAAAAGUAUAACCUAUAUUUAAGAGCAAGAAUCUCAGGAGUAACUUCCUGAUCAGAACAGAUGGAAGGCAGGACACACAGCACAUGUGGAUAACAAGUCUUGAAGAACCACAGCUACUAUAAGGUAAAUACCCACCUUCCCUUUCCUCCCCCCCCCCCCCCCCCCAAAUGUCCACACAACUUCAAUUUGGGGGUUUGCAAGCACUUAAUAACAGAAAGUUGAUGAGGGUUGCCUUAAAAGAAUGGAUUCCAUACUGCCACUCAUCAUUUACAUUUGGCCCACAAGCCUAAGAGAAAAUUGCUCCUUCCCCCCCCCCCCCCAUUCUUGCUGUAGGCAGGCAAUGAAGGAGGAACAUCUGCCAGGCAGGCAGUGAAGGAAUAAAUGUGGGCAGAGCAAGAGCCAACCCACUCAGAAAGAUCUUUCUUGGCUUGAGCACUCAAGAGGCACUUAGUGAGAUAUUUGUUAUUCAUUCAGCAAACACCAUGAAGAGUCUUGAAAUACAUUUGAACAACUGUUUCCUGUCACAAUAAAAAGUCAGUCUCACAGCAUUCAACAUACAAGAUACGGAGUAUUGGAGUAGUGUGUCCAGCUCUGGGGCCCCCAACAGAAGAAGGAUGUGGACCUGCUGAGCAAUUGUCAUCAACAAAUCAGAUACAGAGUUCCUACAGAAGCUGACAUAAAGGCUUUCACCAGCAGUAUUUACUGCUGUACUGUUGUCAGGAUCAUGACGACCCUCACCAAGGAUAAGAAAACAUUUGCUCUGAUAACCUAUAGUCCCAUUUAGGACAGUCCCCAAGGGUCCCAUUUCACUGUCCUUCCUUAAACUUUCAGCUCACUCAUAUGAACUCCCUAACCUUGAAUGGAGGCAACUAUAACCC
Molecule: long non-coding RNA, 1139 nt
Filed under: Strigops habroptila (Kakapo)
Lineage: Eukaryota; Metazoa; Chordata; Aves; Psittaciformes; Psittacidae
Description: lncRNA (ENSSHBG00005007865.1)
Source: RNAcentral